This 435-nucleotide ribosomal RNA is filed under the name uncultured bacterium. Its description in RNAcentral is "partial 16S ribosomal RNA". It matches the Rfam family "Bacterial small subunit ribosomal RNA", at positions 29 to 507 of the family's 1533-position model. The record is from RNAcentral.
AGCGAACGCUGGCGGCAGGCUUAACACAUGCAAGUCGAACGGGCAUCUUCGGAUGUCAGCGGCAGACGGGUGAGUAACACGUGGGAACGUACCCUUCGGUUCGGAACAACUCUGGGAAACUGGAGCUAAUACCGGAUACGCCCUAAGGGGGAAAGGUUUACUGCCGAAGGAUCGGCCCGCGUCGGAUUAGCUAGUUGGGGGGGUAACGGCCUACCAAGGCGACGAUCAGUAGCUGGUCUGAGAGGAUGAUCAGCCACACUGGGACUGAGACACGGCCCAGACUCCUACGGGAGGCAGCAGUGGGGAAUAUUGGACAAUGGGCGCAAGCCUGAUCCAGCCAUGCCGCGUGAGUGAUGAAGGCCUUAGGGUUGUAAAGCUCUUUUGUCCGGGACGAUAAUGACGGUACCGGAAGAAUAAGCCCCGGCUAACUUCGUG